GAUUAGAGUUGGUUGGCUGCUGUGAGGGCAAGGAAGAAUCAGUGCCUAGAGGAGCUGCCUACAAGAAAGACCAAGAAGCUCCCAAGGUUCUCCCAAGAAGAAGACAACAUAUGUAUGAUAAAAGACUGGCCUCUUCCAGAUAGCAACAGGAAAAUAGCCUGUGGAAAAUUUUAGAACAGAGGCCCUUAAAGAGAUUGAAAGAGUGUCAGUGGCCUUAUUUUUCAUGCUGCAGAAUCCACAAGAGCUCUGCCAGGGCAGCAGAGCACUGCUGUAUCUAAACCUUCACCGUGAUGUGUAAUCAGUAGGUACAGGCACUGGGAUUUCUCUUUGCUUCUGAGCUUUCUGCUGCACUACAAGUAAGGAGAAAAAGGAGAAGAUAGAAGAAGGCAGUUAACACAAAUAUACAUCCUUGGAAAUGGAAGUGAUACAGCAAAACUCCUCCUGUUUCUCUGCUCUCAGGAAGGACACACCAGGCUGGCUUUGAAGUGUCAGCAGGAUUAGAAGACAGCAGCAUGCCCUUGCUUCCUGAUAAAGAAUCAGCUUAGCCAGCACAAGACUUCAUAUCCGAGCAGCAAGGGCAGCACUUAUUCUUCUGAACUGUUGGUUCAAAUACCACUGUUGAUAAAUAAACUUCGAGCAUGUUUGAAAGCUAUCAGUGAAAAUUUCUCAGGCCAUUAAUGUUCUCCAGUAUAAACUUUGAGCUUCAAUGUAAAAUUAGCAAUGCCUCAGCUGUCUACCCACUACACUGCUCCAUGACUGAUAAAAUUAAUCUGUGAACAUCUUGUACAUACACAUCCUACCCUUGUAAUCCGUUCAUAAAAACACCUUCACAACUGAUAGCCAAG
Molecule: long non-coding RNA, 845 nt
Organism: Zonotrichia leucophrys gambelii
Lineage: Eukaryota; Metazoa; Chordata; Aves; Passeriformes; Passerellidae
Exons: 3
Source: RefSeq, a predicted model, not a curated record